UCGGGAAUUUUGGGCAAUGGGCGAAAGCCUGACCCAGCAACGCCGCGUGAGGGAUGAAGUAUUUCGGUAUGUAAACCUCGAAAGAAUGGGAAGAAUAAAUGACGGUACCAUUCAUAAGCUCCGGCUAACUACGUGCCAGCAGCCGCGGUAAUACGUAGGGAGCGAGCGUUGUUCGGAUUUACUGGGCGUAAAGGGCGCGUAGGCGGCGCGGUAAGUCACUUGUGAAAUCUCUGAGCUUGACUCAGAACGGCCAAGUGAUACUGCUGUGCUAGAGUGCGGAAGAGGCAACCGGAAUUCUUGGUGUAGCGGUGAAAUGCGUAGAUAUCAAGAGGAACACCUGAGGCGAAGGCGGGUUGCUGGGCCGACACUGACGCUGAUGCGCGAAAGCCAGGGGAGCAAA
This 400-nucleotide ribosomal RNA is filed under the name uncultured bacterium. Its description in RNAcentral is "bacterial SSU rRNA". It matches the Rfam family "Bacterial small subunit ribosomal RNA", at positions 355 to 772 of the family's 1533-position model. The record is from RNAcentral.